Bombus impatiens (common eastern bumble bee) is the source of this 1583-nucleotide long non-coding RNA. RefSeq lists it as uncharacterized. The record is from RefSeq and is a predicted model, not a curated record. The transcript is spliced from 4 exons. Lineage: Eukaryota; Metazoa; Arthropoda; Insecta; Hymenoptera; Apidae.
GAUGUCCACAAGAUCGACUGCUUAGCACCCCAUUUGACAGCCAUCAAGCCACCGAUGAAGUUACCAGGAACAUUUCCGUAACUGUAUGCAGCAAUCAGUUGACCGCGAAUCUCAGGCCUCCAGUCGAAAGGAUGUAGUCUUCCAGAUAGGCGCCCGGAUCCAACCAAGAAAUCGCGCGGCGAACUCGAGACUGCUCGGCUCUGCAGACACCCUCGGUUAUGUUACCCGGUAGAGAUUUGAUCAUUGGCACGGCGAGGAUUGGCAUUUGCAGACGGCACAUGUAGUUGGUCCAACAGGCCGUGAACAUCAUUAUGCAGAUCAGAACUCUUGUCGGAAUCCAUUCUGCAACAAAUAAGAAUAUCCUACUUCCGUUUUGUGUACUAUUCCGAUGAAAGUUUCCUUUGGAUACUCGAAUCAACUUACCAAUCGAUUUCCAUGUGGAAACAGUAUCCAAUGAUAAUGAAAAAAAAGAAAUAAUACUGAACAAUAUUAAUCUUUAUACACUAUUAAUCUUAUCGGCUCUCGAUGAUCCAGAGACCAAUCGAUAUGGAACAAUAAAAAAAAGUUUUUUGAUUAAAUGGAUAGUGAGGCCGCUCCAAGAAAUAAUGGAGAUUUUUCAAAGGAAAAUUAAGUGACCUAAGUAAGCAAUCUAAGUGAUUGUAAGAAGGUUAAAUAACGGACAUGAUUCGAAAACUGUGCCGACAAGAAUGGAAUUUGUGUUGAACACAUACAAGUUUCGACAUUCGUCGAAGAUCAGACUUUGUACUGCCGGUAGCAACAGUUUGAAAACAGAAAACCGCUUUCAUUGAAGACUGAGAAAAAUACAGAAGUGAAAACUGAUUCCUGAUCGAACUAUCCGAUCGUUUCUCGAAAUUUAGUUUAAAUUGGAAAGUAAAUAGGCGAAUGAAAUAGGAAAAUACAUGCUUUACUCACGUGGGAAAAACUUCUCGUAAUAAUGCUUGUACAUUCUGCGAUUUCAGCAGAGGAAUUUACAACAUGCACCAACUAACGCGAUAUUCGAGACGUUUCCUCAGGACAUCGUUUGAGAAAGACGUGGAAGCAAAACAGAGGACAAAACGAUUCCUACGAAAACUAGCUUUCAAACACGACACACAUCGGAAACUGCCGAAGGAGUAACUGGAUGACAUUGGUUAUCCAGCCAGCUUAUUUAAGUAGUCAGUAGGAAUGUCACGAUCGAAUCUCAUCGUUGUUCCAAAUGGAACACAUCGAUUCGAAUUAUCGCGCGUGCUUAAAAUAUUCGCGGCACGUUAACUCGACUGGUGUUAUGCAAAAGAUCAUUGCGUUCGAUAGCCACCGAUAAAUUUUCGCCCGACGGUAGCGGGCUAUUGAUAACACGCCCUGUUGCUACCGUUUCAAACCGCGAUUUUAAUUGAAAGAAGAUGCUAUGCAUCAGUAGCAUACUCUGAUAAAAAGGAAGGAGGAAAUUGAAAAUAUUAAAUCGAAUAAAAGCUGAUCGUUGAUUGAUAGACAGGUUGAUCUUAAAUUUAUAGAAAAAAUUAAGAUAAGACGUUGUGGAAAUUGAGAGUACGAAUACUUUUUUAGGCUAAAUUCUUUGUUUAACG